AGUGAACGCUGGCGGUAGGCCUAACACAUGCAAGUCGAACGGCAGCACAGUAAGAGCUUGCUCUUACGGGUGGCGAGUGGCGGACGGGUGAGGAAUACAUCGGAAUCUACUUUUUCGUGGGGGAUAACGUAGGGAAACUUACGCUAAUACCGCAUACGACCUACGGGUGAAAGCAGGGGAUCUUCGGACCUUGCGCGAUUGAAUGAGCCGAUGUCGGAUUAGCUAGUUGGCGGGGUAAAGGCCCACCAAGGCGACGAUCCGUAGCUGGUCUGAGAGGAUGAUCAGCCACACUGGAACUGAGACACGGUCCAGACUCCUACGGGAGGCAGCAGUGGGGAAUAUUGGACAAUGGGCGCAAGCCUGAUCCAGACAUACCGCGUGGGUGAAGAAGGCCUUCGGGUUGUAAAGCCCUUUUGUUGGGAAAGAAAAGCAGCAGAUUAAUACCCCGCUGUUCUGACGGUACCCAAAGAAUAAGCACCGGCUAACUUCGUG
RNAcentral lists this ribosomal RNA (492 nucleotides) under uncultured bacterium. RNAcentral's name for it is "partial 16S ribosomal RNA". It matches the Rfam family "Bacterial small subunit ribosomal RNA", at positions 29 to 507 of the family's 1533-position model. The record is from RNAcentral.